AUGAACGCUAGCGGCAGGCCUAAUACAUGCAAGUCGAACGGUAACAGACGUAGCAAUACGUGCUGACGAGUGGCGCACGGGUGCGUAACGCGUAUGCAAUCUACCUUCAACUGGUGAAUAGCCCGAAGAAAUUCGGAUUAAUACACCAUAGUAUAUUAGAGUGGCAUCACUUUAAUAUUAAAACUCCGGUGGUUGAAGAUGAGCAUGCGUGACAUUAGCUAGUUGGUGAGGUAAUGGCUCACCAAGGCAACGAUGUCUAGGGGAUCUGAGAGGAUUAACCCCCACACUGGUACUGAGACACGGACCAGACUCCUACGGGAGGCAGCAGUAAGGAAUAUUGGACAAUGGUCGCAAGACUGAUCCAGCCAUGCCGCGUGCAGGAUGACAGCCCUAUGGGUCGUAAACUGCUUUUGUGCGAGAAAAAACCCCUCUACGUGUAGAGGGCUGAUUGUAUCGUAAGAAUAAGGAUCGGCUAACUCCGU
RNAcentral lists this ribosomal RNA (482 nucleotides) under uncultured bacterium. Its description in RNAcentral is "bacterial SSU rRNA". It matches the Rfam family "Bacterial small subunit ribosomal RNA", at positions 29 to 506 of the family's 1533-position model. The record is from RNAcentral.